This 270-nucleotide ribosomal RNA is filed under the name uncultured bacterium. RNAcentral's name for it is "partial 16S ribosomal RNA". It matches the Rfam family "Bacterial small subunit ribosomal RNA", at positions 88 to 354 of the family's 1533-position model. The record is from RNAcentral.
CCGGCGACCGGCGCACGGGUGAGUAACGCGUAUGCAACCUGCCCGUUUCAGCGGGAUAACCCGGAGAAAUCCGGCCUAAUACCGCAUGUGGCCGAGGGGAGGCAUCUUCUUUCGGCCAAAGGAGGCGACUCCGGAGACGGAUGGGCAUGCGUGACAUUAGCUAGUUGGCGGGGUAACGGCCCACCAAGCCGACGAUGCGUAGGGGUUCUGAGAGGAAGGUCCCCCACAUUGGAACUGAGACACGGUCCAAACUCCUACGGAAGGCAGCAG